UCACCUCUCCUUUAGGAGAGGUCGAAACUACUAAUAGUAGUUUCGGGUGAGGAU
This 54-nucleotide non-coding RNA is filed under the name unclassified sequences. RNAcentral describes it as "Whalefall-1 RNA". It matches the Rfam family "Whalefall-1 RNA". RNAcentral also lists the same sequence under 1 other name. The record is from RNAcentral.